GACGAACGCUGGCGGCGUGCUUAACACAUGCAAGUCGAACGGAAAGGCCCUGCUUGCAGGGUGCUCGAGUGGCGAACGGGUGAGUAACACGUGGGUGAUCUGCCCCUUACUUUGGGAUAAGCCUGGGAAACUGGGUCUAAUACUGGAUAGGACCAUGCUGUAGGUGGUGUGGUGGAAAGAUUAGUUUCGGUAAGGGAUGAGCUCGCGGCCUAUCAGCUUGUUGGUGGGGUAAUGGCCUACCAAGGCGUCGACGGGUAGCCGGCCUGAGAGGGUGGACGGCCACAUUGGGACUGAGAUACGGCCCAGACUCCUACGGGAGGCAGCAGUGGGGAAUAUUGCACAAUGGGCGCAAGCCUGAUGCAGCGACGCCGCGCGGGGGAUGACGGCCUUCGGGUUGUAAACUCCUUUCAGCCAUGACGAAGCCCUUGUGGUGACGGUAGUGGUAGAAGAAGCACCGGCUAACUACGUG
Molecule: ribosomal RNA, 469 nt
Filed under: uncultured bacterium
Lineage: Bacteria
Description: partial 16S ribosomal RNA
Rfam family: Bacterial small subunit ribosomal RNA
Source: RNAcentral